ACACCUCAAACUCUCACGGCCUGCCGUGAUGAGCUUGGACUUUGGGAGACUUGCCGGCCUGCAGUCGGCUCCCCUCAAAUGGAUCAGCUUUCCGGUGUUUGGUGGCGUCACGGGUGUGAUAAAUAUCUGCGCUUGUGGCUUUCCACCAUGUAACCUUCAGUGAUGGGGGUUCGCUGGGGCUCAUAAAUGUCUCUCCUCAGCGAAGACAGCUUUGUGAACGU
This 221-nucleotide unclassified non-coding RNA is filed under the name uncultured Tomentella. RNAcentral describes it as "sequence contains ITS2". Lineage: Eukaryota; Fungi; Basidiomycota; Agaricomycetes; Thelephorales; Thelephoraceae. The record is from RNAcentral.